UUUAUGGAGAGUUUGAUCCUGGCUCAGGAUGAACGCUGGCGGCGUGCCUAAUACAUGCAAGUCGAGCGAACAGACGAGGAGCUUGCU
RNAcentral lists this ribosomal RNA (87 nucleotides) under Staphylococcus epidermidis. RNAcentral describes it as "partial 16S ribosomal RNA". It matches the Rfam family "Bacterial small subunit ribosomal RNA", at positions 1 to 84 of the family's 1533-position model. Lineage: Bacteria; Bacillati; Bacillota; Bacilli; Caryophanales; Staphylococcaceae. The record is from RNAcentral. RNAcentral also lists the same sequence under 1 other name.